Molecule: ribosomal RNA, 564 nt
Filed under: uncultured bacterium
Lineage: Bacteria
Description: bacterial SSU rRNA
Rfam family: Bacterial small subunit ribosomal RNA
Source: RNAcentral
UGGCGUACGGGUGAGUAACACGUGGAUGAUCUACCUCUUGGCGGGGAAUACCCCUGGGAAACCGGGGACAAUACCGCAUAAGCUCGGAAGAGGAAACCUGAAAAGGGCCGAGAGAGGAGUCCGCGGCCGAUUAGCUAGUUGGAAGGGUAAAAGCCUCCCAAGGCAAAGAUCGGUAGCCGGCCUGAGAGGGCACACGGCCACACUGGCACUGAGACACGGGCCAGACUCCUACGGGAGGCAGCAGUGGGGAAUCUUGCACAAUGGGGGAAACCCUGAUGCAGCGACGCCGCGUGAGCGAUGAAGCCCUUCGGGGUGUAAAGCUCUUUCGACGGGAACGAUAAUGACGGUACCCGGAGAAGAAGCUGCGGCUAACUACGUGCCAGCAGCCGCGGUAAUACGUAGGCAGCAAGCGUUGUUCGGAGUUACUGGGCGUAAAGAGUGCGUAGGCGGUUUACCAAGUCUGCUGUGAAAUCUCCCGGCUUAACUGGGAGGGUGCGGUGGAAACUGGUAGGCUCGAGUGUGGGAGAGGUAAGCGGAAUUCCUGGUGUAGCGGUGAAAUGCGUA